Molecule: ribosomal RNA, 492 nt
Filed under: uncultured bacterium
Lineage: Bacteria
Description: partial 16S ribosomal RNA
Rfam family: Bacterial small subunit ribosomal RNA
Source: RNAcentral
AGUGAACGCUGGCGGUAGGCCUAACACAUGCAAGUCGAACGGCAGCACAGUAAGAGCUUGCUCUUACGGGUGGCGAGUGGAGGACGGGUGAGGAAUACAUCGGAAUCUACUUUUUCGUGGGGGAUAACGUAGGGAAACUUACGCUAAUACCGCAUACGACCUACGGGUGAAAGCAGGGGAUCUUCGGACCUUGCGGGAUUGAAUGAGCCGAUGUCGGAUUAGCUAGUUGGCGGGGUAAAGGCCCACCAAGGCGACGAUCCGUAGCUGGUCUGAGAGGAUGAUCAGCCACACUGGAACUGAGACACGGUCCAGACUCCUACGGGAGGCAGCAGUGGGGAAUAUUGGACAAUGGGCGCAAGCCUGAUCCAGCCAUACCGCGUGGGUGAAGAAGGCCUUCGGGUUGUAAAGCCCUUUUGUUGGGAAAGAAAAGCAGCAGGUUAAUACCCCGCUGUUCUGACGGUACCCAAAGAAUAAGCACCGGCUAACUUCGUG